Molecule: ribosomal RNA, 596 nt
Filed under: Fusarium lateritium
Lineage: Eukaryota; Fungi; Ascomycota; Sordariomycetes; Hypocreales; Nectriaceae
Description: eukaryotic LSU rRNA
Rfam family: Eukaryotic large subunit ribosomal RNA
Source: RNAcentral
GUUGACCUCGGAUCAGGUAGGAAUACCCGCUGAACUUACAACAGGGAUUGCCCUAGUAACGGCGAGUGAAGCGGCAACAGCUCAAAUUUGAAAUCUGGCUUUCGGGCCCGAGUUGUAAUUUGUAGAGGAUACUUUUGAUGCGGUGCCUUCCGAGUUCCCUGGAACGGGACGCCAUAGAGGGUGAGAGCCCCGUCUGGUUGGAUGCCAAAUCUCUGUAAAGUUCCUUCGACGAGUCGAGUAGUUUGGGAAUGCUGCUCUAAAUGGGAGGUAUAUGUCUUCUAAAGCUAAAUAUUGGCCAGAGACCGAUAGCGCACAAGUAGAGUGAUCGAAAGAUGAAAAGCACUUUGAAAAGAGAGUUAAAAAGUACGUGAAAUUGUUGAAAGGGAAGCGUUUAUGACCAGACUUGGACUUGGUUAAUCAUCUGGGGUUCUCCCCAGUGCACUUUUCCAGUUCAGGCCAGCAUCAGUUUUCGCCGGGGGAUAAAGGCAGCGGGAAUGUGGCUCUCUUCGGGGAGUGUUAUAGCCCGUUGUGUAAUACCCUGGUGGGGACUGAGGUUCGCGCUUCUGCAAGGAUGCUGGCGUAAUGGUCAUCAACGA